RNAcentral lists this long non-coding RNA (576 nucleotides) under Macaca fascicularis (crab-eating macaque). Its description in RNAcentral is "lncRNA (ENSMFAG00000053618.1)". The record is from RNAcentral. Lineage: Eukaryota; Metazoa; Chordata; Mammalia; Primates; Cercopithecidae.
AUGGCGGCGAGCGGUGUGGAGAAAGACGCGCGGGUGGCGGGGCCUUGCACUGCGGCGGCCCUCCGGCACCCUUGUGCUGCCCCCCACACCCUUGUGCUGCCCCCCCUUCCUCCAGGCCCUAGGACCUCAUGCCGGGGGAGGCAGCGUGGGCCCCAGGCCCCGGUACUCUGCGCCUCCCGCAGACGCCGGCUUCCCGGCCCGGUUUCCAGCGCCGGGAAUCCUUCCACUGUCUGUCUCUGCCCAGGGCAACCCCUGCGCAGUAACGCCGACCCCAGAGCGCACCCGUUAGGCGAUGAAGGCGCAAAAGAAGAGGAAGAAAACCCGGAACAGGGCCUCGGUGGCAAAUGGAGGCGAGAAGGCCUCAGAGAAGCCCGCCCCAGAGGAAGUUCCCGUACAAGCAGUUGGCCCAGGGAUUGGCUUGGUGCGUGGAGCGACUGCAGCUGGAUCUCAAGAGGCAGAAACUCACCCCGACACGAAACAGCCCUCAUGCUUGCUGUGCACUAUGACCCGCCAGGUAUUGUCAACAUCCUUCUUAAGCAAAAUGUUAAGAGCUCUACUCAAGACAUGUGUGGAUGA